Molecule: long non-coding RNA, 421 nt
Filed under: Marmota monax (woodchuck)
Lineage: Eukaryota; Metazoa; Chordata; Mammalia; Rodentia; Sciuridae
Source: RNAcentral
GGGUCGUUUGAACCUUCCGGAUCAGGGCAGACAGCGGGGCUACCAGGCUUGCUUUGGGUCUGAGUUCGCCCGCUAAGCAUCCCGCCUAGUUUGGAAUUACCGCCAUUCAAGGAAGGGGCUAUGGGCAGUGAGGGAACUGCCAGGGUCAUUCAACAAAUAACAAUAACCACCUCCUUGAUGACCACUUGUAGUGACCACGUGCCAGAUGCUGUUAUAAGCUCUUUAUGGGAAGAUCUAAAUACAACUUUUGAGCUCCUGCUGUGUGUGGAGCGGGAGGAUCCGGGAGCAAACAGCAGGAGGAGCCUGAAAUACCCCCAGGAGAGUGGUGCCCUUCCGUUGGGCUGAUCCCUGAGUGGUUUUGAUGAUCCCCAUGAGUUCCCUCCCUCCUCUAGGAAGCCUUCCCAGAUGCUCCAGUGGAGGC